GCGCCGAUAGUCUAGAGGUAGGACACUGCUUUCCCAAAGCAGGAGCCCGGGUUCGAACCCCGGUCGGCGCA
RNAcentral lists this transfer RNA (71 nucleotides) under Penicillium chrysogenum. Its description in RNAcentral is "tRNA-Gly (CCC) (tRNA-Gly-CCC-1-1)". It matches the Rfam family "tRNA". Rfam says of the family: Transfer RNA (tRNA) molecules are approximately 80 nucleotides in length. Their secondary structure includes four short double-helical elements and three loops (D, anti-codon, and T loops). The record is from RNAcentral. Lineage: Eukaryota; Fungi; Ascomycota; Eurotiomycetes; Eurotiales; Aspergillaceae. RNAcentral also lists the same sequence under 4 other names.